CCUGGACGGAGGAAGGAUGGACCUGGAGUCACGUCUCGGGAAGAAGGAAGAUUCACUACGUCUAGAAAUGCAGAGCCUUGCGAAUACUGUGCCGUGAAGCCCAGCAUCCGGAGCACGGCCCGGCUUGAGGCGUGUAAGUAACUCUGCUUUCCAGAGCCCUGGCACGUCAUCUGCUCCCAGAUUCGGAAAAGGGGGACCACCUCGCCUGGAAGCCGUGGGGUGGCUCUGAAGGCCCUGGCAAUUUCCUUCAGCCUCUUGGAGUGUAACCUGCGUGAGCCUAGAAACCACCCUUGCACCAUCUGGCUGCCAUGCAUUCUCUCCUGUCUUGCCGUGGAUCUCGACCCCGCCUUCUGUCUGUCUACCUGUGCCGCUGUAGAGACGGUUCUCCUUGGAGAAGUUGUAAACUGGAAAAGUUAGACCUUGAACCCAGACCUCUCUGACUUGGGUUCCAUUGUUCUUGCCCUGUACCAUGUGCAUGCCCUCUGAGCUCCCACCUCCCCGCUCAGCUACCCACCCCUGGGUGAAGAAAGCCCCAUCUUCAUUUUAUAGACAGUUGACAGGACCCUGGUUAUCAACUCUGUGUCCCCCACUAACUGGGGCCUCAGCAGCAGAGGGGCCUGGGCCUGACCGUCCCUGGGCCUCCAGCACACGGCAUCACAUGGGAACGGCUCCUGUGCCUCGAGGUCUCUGGCUGUGCUCAAGGUGCACUGCUGUAGGGGAGAGGCAGGCCUGUCACUUUGUCUUCCUUAACUGUAAUAACUGCAGCCAAACGUCA
Non-coding RNA from Kogia breviceps (pygmy sperm whale), 775 nucleotides. The record is from RefSeq and is a predicted model, not a curated record. NCBI's taxonomy places the organism in Eukaryota, Metazoa, Chordata, Mammalia, Artiodactyla, Physeteridae.